AUAAGUGACCAUAGGAG
This 17-nucleotide unclassified non-coding RNA is filed under the name Mus musculus (house mouse). Its description in RNAcentral is "oocyte_clustered_small_RNA1213". Lineage: Eukaryota; Metazoa; Chordata; Mammalia; Rodentia; Muridae. The record is from RNAcentral.